UGCCGGACAAAUGUUUCUGGUAAGAGGAAGAAAACUAUUAGAAGCCUGUCCCCUUUUUCCAGGGUUUUUGGCUAAUUUCGGUCUGCUCUCCUUCCCUCUGCAUUUUCCUGAAGGCUGGAGACUGCCUAGUGCUGAAACCUCUGGAUACCCUCUCCCAAAACACUGCCUUCUGCUCCUGUCUGAGGGAACUGGGGCUCAGAGCUGCAGAUUUGGCCUCACUCUGAUCCUAGCUGGAGUAGAGCUGGAUGGGCUCAUUAACUGCAUGUGCCUGCAAAGCAGAAUGUCCUCAUGCCCAGGGUCCUGCAAAUGACUGAGCCAUUGAGGAGGAAACAUGCUUCACAAGGCAGAAAAUUACAGAGACAUCCACCUCCCACACUCUUCAUAAUCUGAGACUUCACUGAACCUGGAGCAAAGACUGUGAAGAGGAGAAUGACAAAGUAACAGUAACUACAGGUGCACCCUUGGGUUAGUCAUUGUGGUCUAUAUACUUACAGCUGGCAACCAGAAUAACCACUCCCAAAGGAUGAUGAUUUAUAGGGGUAGAGGAAAAAAGGAUGGAGACAUAAACAAGAAGAACUAGUAGCCAAGUAAUGUGGAACAAUUGCUGGAAUGUUGCACAAAAACCAUAAGUAGACUGGUAUGUAGGUCUGCCACAGUCCUGGGAAGUGCCCUCAUUAAAAGCUUUUUUAUGUUAUGCUGCAGAACUUCUUUUUCAUAUGAAACACUUGGAGAAUCUGGCUUAUGACCCAAGACAAAAUGAGAAAAAAAAUAUUAAAUAUCCCAAAAUGUUUUAAUGUAGGAGAAUCACAUCCUGCACAUCUUUACACUAGGAGAAUUGAAGGCUUUUUGACACAUGAGAAUCUAUGCUCAAGAAUGGACAUCUGCACAUUGGAAAACACAGAUUUUUUUAAAAUUUGAUUUAUGCCUUGAAGCCUAUUCAGAAGCACAGAAACAGAACUGUCCAAAGGUCACUCGAAAUUGUAUCAACAAGUGACAAAGUCUUUGGCAGUAAAAUGUUGAUUUUAUGGCAGGUAAUUGCAGACACCAAUGCUUCAAUUUCUUAGUGUGUUGUACAUGAAAAGAGCAAAAUUCAUUUGCUUAAUCAAAAUAAGUUUAGGUAUUUGAAAUGUGAAUGAGUUGGAAAUAUAUCUACUGAUGUUGUGAUAAUAACAUGAAGCAUUUAAGGGCUUAUUUUCAGUACAUAUACAGUGAAAAUACACUUAUAUUUGAGGGUUAAGGGAGUCAAUAAAGUUUAUGUUAAUAAGACUUGUUGAUAACAGGACUGUGCUAAGUGAAAUUGCAGGAAACAUUGGAAUACUUUUUAAUAAAUUGUAUCAUUUUAGACUUAGACCUCAAUGAGAUGUCUCUCUGAAUUUCACAGAAAUUGUGUAAAAAUAGCAGAAGCAAAAUAAAUUCUUAGAAGUGUAAAAUAAAGAGACA
Motacilla alba alba is the source of this 1440-nucleotide long non-coding RNA. RefSeq lists it as uncharacterized. NCBI's taxonomy places the organism in Eukaryota, Metazoa, Chordata, Aves, Passeriformes, Motacillidae. The record is from RefSeq and is a predicted model, not a curated record. The transcript has 3 exons.